UGAUGUACGUGGAAAUGCGUUGUCAGCUGCAUAGCUGUCUGCGCGGAUGAGGGAAGGUGCCGCGUUUUCUGGGGCAGAUGGUGUCCACCUCUUCGUGGGGUUUUAAGAAAAGGUUUCCAGGCCUUGAACUUGGGCUUUGCUAGGUGAACUCGAUUGGUGACAACAUUUAUUUAUUCAGGAAGUGUUUAGACAUAAAAAUUUAGUAGAAAGUAUAUUCUAGAUUGAUGGGCAACUAGAAAGUAAGACCGAUUUUUAAAGGAAGCUGAGAGGAAAGGGAAGGUUUCUUAGCGUUGAAGGAGGAAGAGGAAGGAGUUUUAACUACAGCCCCUGACUCGUGUCUGCCCAGGUCUACCGGCGAGUGACCCUGCAGGAGGAGACACCAGCUUGCCUAGGUUCCUUCCAAAGACUUCGUGCUGGUGGCACUGUACAUUCCUUCUGCUGCUUUUUGUAUGGGGCAAAUUAUCCUUGCAUAUCUCUAAGGAUUCACGGAGUAUAUUGAGAAAAGUUGGUGGCAAAGACAAAGGAUUACCCUCUAAAUGUAACCAAUGUUGCCAAGUUCUCGUGAGUCUUUCCAGAAAUAUCCCGGACCAGCACACAUAUGUAUCUGUUCUUUGCAAACCCAUGCAGGAUGGUACGCGGUUGAUUUUUGCGUGGCUCCGCACAAUACUUCGUAGCAGAAUGCUAGCCUCCAAUUGGUAUGUUCCAAGUCCCACUUGAUUUUAACUACUACAUAGGCUAAAGGGUGUGCGGCUUUAAAGGAAUAAACUAUAAAAAUGUUUAUGGAUUUAAACGCAUUUGUAGAUUUAAAUGUUUUAUGAACAUUUUAGACAGUUUUCUGUUGAAUAUUUUGGUGGUGGUUUUCAACAAGAAAAGUUGUAAGGCUGGGUGUGGUAGCCCAGGCCUUUAAUUGUACUGCUCUGGAGGCAAUCAGAUUGAUCUUUGUGAACUCAAGGUCAGCCUGGUCUACUUGGUGAGUUCUAGGACAGUUAGGUUCACAUAGAGAGAUCUUGUCUCAAAACACCAAAAAUACAAAGGGAAAAGAAAAAAUUUGUAAGAUUUAGGUGGUUGUUCUCAUCAAGAAAAAUUGUUAGUGGCCCUGAAGCUGACAUUCAGGGCUUUUGUGCAUGCUAGGCUCCUCAGCUCUGAGCUACGACCCAGCAAAAGGCUAUUGACCUCAGUCACUGGGGGAGAUCUUUCUCUUUCCUGGGGAUAACGUGUUAAAGCCUUCCUGAGGAAGUCUUCAAAGAAAGAACUUUUAAAAAGGUCAAUAGGGAAGGAGCUGGUGCAUUUUGUGCACAAAAUCAAGCUACUUGUCAGUUACAAGUCUUGAGAAGGGAUUGGUCCAGAUUUAGUGCCAGAUACUAAACUAACUCCAGGGGACAAGGCUUUCAGACCCUCAGUUCAGCUUCCUGAAA
Molecule: long non-coding RNA, 1415 nt
Organism: Rattus rattus (black rat)
Lineage: Eukaryota; Metazoa; Chordata; Mammalia; Rodentia; Muridae
Exons: 2
Source: RefSeq, a predicted model, not a curated record